This 72-nucleotide transfer RNA is filed under the name Ignavibacteriaceae bacterium. Its description in RNAcentral is "tRNA-Pro". It matches the Rfam family "tRNA". Rfam says of the family: Transfer RNA (tRNA) molecules are approximately 80 nucleotides in length. Their secondary structure includes four short double-helical elements and three loops (D, anti-codon, and T loops). Further hydrogen bonds mediate the characteristic L-shaped molecular structure. tRNAs have two regions of fundamental functional importance: the anti-codon, which is responsible for specific mRNA codon recognition, and the 3' end, to which the tRNAs corresponding amino acid is attached (by aminoacyl-tRNA synthetases). tRNAs cope with the degeneracy of the genetic code in two manners: having more than one tRNA (with a specific anti-codon) for a particular amino acid; and 'wobble' base-pairing, i.e. permitting non-standard base-pairing at the 3rd anti-codon position. The record is from RNAcentral. Lineage: Bacteria; Pseudomonadati; Ignavibacteriota; Ignavibacteria; Ignavibacteriales; Ignavibacteriaceae.
CAGGGUAAGGUGCUACGGUAGCAUCGCCGACUUGGACUCGGCAGGAGAAGGUCCGACUCCUUCUACCCUGAC